This is an RNA transcript of Diachasmimorpha longicaudata, 1313 nucleotides long. It is a transcript of the gene named MICOS complex subunit MIC27, with no coding region annotated. The record is from RefSeq and is a predicted model, not a curated record. The transcript is spliced from 7 exons. NCBI's taxonomy places the organism in Eukaryota, Metazoa, Arthropoda, Insecta, Hymenoptera, Braconidae.
GUUCCAUAUUUUCACGGAAUGACCACCAUUGAUUUUCGAUGUCGUUGUUUUGUUAAUAACUUUCCACUGAAAUAAAUUCUUGUAAAAUUAUAUAUUUAUUAACUGUGACGAUGAGAAAAUACGAUGACACGAUACGAAUGAAUGCUGAGUGAUAUUAUUUUGGCAAAUUGGAUCUUUAACUUGAAACUUUAAUUAUCUUUUUUUCAAUUUAUUGCUGCUCCCCGAAUAGACUGUCAAAAUGGAGAGAAUUCAGCUCUUCAAGAAGUUCCUGAUGCCUGGUGGGCUUUGCGCGGCAGUACCAAUGGCCAAACCUCAGCCAGCAUCUCCAGAUAAACCAGUGGAAUGCAGUAAUGAAAUUUUGACGAAACCGUUGAUUCGCCCCUCGGAACUUCCAAUUUACGUGUAUGAAUCAGGGAGUCAACAAGUUCCACGCGUUAACAAUCAAGAUUCAUCGAGCAUGUUGGAGCAGGGAUUUGGUACUAUUCGAAAGAACGUUCAGGCCGUCUUGAAUGAAUAUACAACUGUCACUACUACAGUCAGUGAUAAAUUUCAGACAGGAGUUGAACACAGUCAAUUAAUGCUGGAGUAUUUACGAGAAGAAACGAAUACGUUACCUCGAGUUGGCGCCGUAGCAAUUGGUGGUCUCACAGGAUUGAUAUUCAGCCUUCGAGGCGGUAAAUUCAAGCGAUUCGUUUAUACAACAACUGGUGCUCUAGGAAUCGCCGCUGUGUGUUAUCCAAGGCAGACAGAAGCGAGUAUUGUUGCUGCAAAGCACUAUGCGAAUAUCGUUAUAAAUUUUGCAUACGGAGUCAAACCAGGGGAAAAACAAAUGGAGAUACCUUGGCCGGAAUUGCCAUUAUUCAAAAUGCCGUCAUCAUUUUCAGAUAUCAUUAAUAUUGUUUCUGAAACAGGUUCUAGUGUUGUUUCUAGUGUUGGUUCACUAGGUAGUAAAUUAACUGAUGGUGCGCAAGAACAGGUAGCAAUUGCGAGUGUGAAAAAGACGAAUAUGGUUAUAAUUCUAAAUCUAACGAUUUGAAUUCUACCGAGGAUUCACAAGAGAUAAUCGAAGUGCCAAAUCCAAAGCAAUUACAGUCAGUUGAAAGAACUAACCGAUGGUGGCGAAAAUUCAUUUAAGACAUCAGCAGAAGCGGUUUCACCCCAACUCCAAAACAAAAAGGAAUAAUGUAAAGACGAUGUAUUUAGCUGAUUGGUAGCUGCCGAAUGAAAAGUAAUUGUCAAUAAUGAAGAAAAUUUAUAACGAAUUAUACAGAUCAUUGGAAUUAAUAAAAUCUUGUAUAUAACUUACACUUCAA